ACUGCGAGUGAAGAGGGAAGAGCUCAUCAUUGGAAUCUGGCAGUGUUACACUGUCCGAGUUGUAGAUGAGGAGUAGUCCGUCUGGACUGCAUGGCGUCCAAGUACAAUAGGCCGUCAGUGGGACAUCAUAGAGGGUGACAAUCCCGUCCUUGACGCCAAUGUGCAAGUCUAUUACGAUGGCUAUCUCAGAGAGUCGAGCAGUUUGGGAUUUGCUGCUUAAACAUGGGAGGUAGAUUCCUUCUAAAGCUAAAUACAGGCGAGAGACCGAUAGAGAACAAGUACCGCAAGGGAAAGAUGAAAUAGCACUCUGUGAAGGGAGUCAAAAGGCGUGAAAUUGUUGCGAGAGAAGCGAUUCAAGUCAGCGUAGCUAGGCCCAUCAAGCGUCUUCGCUUUGGACUAGCUUUGCCAGCGGUCUUGUCCCUUAAAGAGACUUGACUUGUAAUAUGUCCAGCCUGGCGUGCACAGGCAGCCCCUUCUGGGGGCCAGUGGCAUGGCUGGUGGAAUGGCUUGCAAUCGACCCGUCUUGAAACACGGACCAAGGAGUCUAACAUGUAUGCGAGUAUAAGGGUGGCAAACCCGUAUGCGCAAUGAAAGUGAUUUUCGGUGAUUGAGAAUGGCCUGAUGACCAGACAAGCAAUAUAUGUCCCUCGUACGGCCAUUGCCCAAGUUCCGUGGUAGAUCCCACGAACAUGGAGUUGGAGCAUACAUGCUAGGACCCGAAAGAUGGUGAACUAUGCCUGGACAAAGCGAAGCCAAAGGAAACUCUGGUGGAGGCUUGUAGCGAUUCUGACGUGCAAAUCGAUCGUCUGAUCUGGGUAUAGGGGCGAAAGACUA
This 834-nucleotide ribosomal RNA is filed under the name Cantharellus enelensis. RNAcentral's name for it is "partial large subunit ribosomal RNA". It matches the Rfam family "Eukaryotic large subunit ribosomal RNA", at positions 86 to 933 of the family's 3401-position model. Lineage: Eukaryota; Fungi; Basidiomycota; Agaricomycetes; Cantharellales; Hydnaceae. The record is from RNAcentral.